GUCGGGCGGCGUGGCGGGCGCCUGUAGUCCCAGCUACUUGGGAGGCUGAGGCAGGAGAAUUGCGUGAACCCGGGAGGCGGGGCCUGCAGUGAGCUGAGAUCCGGCCACUGCACUCCAGCCUGGGCAUAGAGCGAGACUCCAUCUCAAAAAAAUAAAUAAAUAAAUAAAUAAAGUAAAAUAAAAUAAAAAGAAAAAUGUAUAUUUCUUUUUUCUUUUUUUUUUUUCUUUUUGAGACAGAGUCUCGCUCUGUCACCCAGGCUGGAGUGCAGUGGCUGGAUCUCAGCUCACUGCAAGCUCCGCCUCCCGGGUUUACGCCAUUCUCCUGCCUCAG
Molecule: signal recognition particle RNA, 331 nt
Filed under: Macaca fascicularis (crab-eating macaque)
Lineage: Eukaryota; Metazoa; Chordata; Mammalia; Primates; Cercopithecidae
Description: Metazoan signal recognition particle RNA (ENSMFAG00000065484.1)
Rfam family: Metazoan signal recognition particle RNA
About the family: The signal recognition particle (SRP) is a universally conserved ribonucleoprotein.
Source: Rfam by way of RNAcentral